Molecule: non-coding RNA, 45 nt
Filed under: Schistosoma haematobium
Lineage: Eukaryota; Metazoa; Platyhelminthes; Trematoda; Strigeidida; Schistosomatidae
Source: RNAcentral
AUCCAGCUGAGGAGUCCCAAAUAGGAUUAAAAACACGUCCUGGAU